Molecule: ribosomal RNA, 428 nt
Filed under: uncultured Myxococcales bacterium
Lineage: Bacteria; Pseudomonadati; Myxococcota; Myxococcia; Myxococcales
Description: bacterial SSU rRNA
Rfam family: Bacterial small subunit ribosomal RNA
Source: RNAcentral
UGGGGAAUCUUGCGCAAUGGGCGAAAGCCUGACGCAGCGACGCCGCGUGGGUGAUGAAGGCCUUCGGGUUGUAAAGCCCUGUGGGGAGGGACGAAUAACGCCGACCUAAUACGUCGGUGGAUGACGGUACCUCCUUAGCAAGCACCGGCUAACUCUGUGCCAGCAGCCGCGGUAAGACAGAGGGUGCAAACGUUGUUCGGAAUUACUGGGCGUAAAGCGCGUGUAGGCGGUUAUGCAAGUCGGGUGUGAAAGCCCAGGGCUCAACCCUGGAAGUGCAUUCGAUACUGCGUAGCUAGAGUACUGGAGAGGAUGGUGGAACUCUCGGUGUAGAGGUGAAAUUCGUAGAUAUCGAGAAGAACACCGGUGGCGAAGGCGGCCAUCUGGACAGAUACUGACGCUGAGACGCGAAAGCGUGGGGAGCAAACAGG